AGUCGCCGCAGCCGCGGAGUGAGGGAGCGAGAGUCUUCCUUAGCUUCCCCGCCAUGGGCGUCGCUUCGUAGCCGGGCUGCUCCGGGAAAGGCCUCGUACAGCACGCAUUCACCAGAAUCCUGUCAGCUUUCCUCUUCUCAUCCAGACGCCUGGCCAGGAUCCUUGAUAAGACCGUGACCCCCAACUUAGACACCCCAUAAGGUUCCCAGAUGAUGUGACAGCUACUGGUUUCCAGCCACACCUUGAGAACACUUGGCUUUCACUAUCACUUCUUAAACUUAAAGGGUCUUCUCUGUUGCCAGGCUGGAGUGCAGUGCUGCAGUCAUGGCUCACUGUAGUGUCAAUCUCCUGAGCUCAGGAAAACUAGACAAUCCACCAGCCCAGGAGGGGACAAGCAGGCUUAAUCCCCCUCCUCGUCAUCUCUGGCUCCAGCCCCACCCUGGCCCUUCCUGGCAUUCUUCCUCUUCACGUGGCUGGGGUGGCCACCCCAAUAGGGAGGCAGAGGGAGAAGUCCAUGUGCUUCUGGGAAUCCAGGCGGACAGUGAAGAACAGGAUAUUUACCACCUGCUCACGGAUAUGAUACUGUUGGAUCAGCACACGAGCGUGGCGGAUGGACUUAAGCCAAGCCCAGCUUGAAGACCUGGGUCUGUAG
RNAcentral lists this non-coding RNA (652 nucleotides) under Pongo abelii (Sumatran orangutan). The record is from RNAcentral. Lineage: Eukaryota; Metazoa; Chordata; Mammalia; Primates; Hominidae.